AUGGCUAAUCGCCGACAUACCAAGGAAGGAGGAGAUGAUCGGCAAGAGGAGGGAGAGGGCGUCGUCGUCCUCAAGAAGGACGUGCUGGACUGCCCCGUCUGCUCCACCCCCCUCAGCCCUCCCAUCUUCCAGUGCAAACUAGGGCACUUGGUCUGCUCGCCCUGCCGCGACAAGCUCCCGGGGAAGAAGAAGGCCUGCAGCGUGUGCUCUAAGGCCGUCUCCAGACGAUGCCAUGCGAUGGAGCGCGUCGUCGAAUCCAUCGUCGUGCCGUGCUCCAACGCCGCGCACGGCUGCACCGCCAUGAUGGCCGGCGGCGAGAAGGCGGAGCACGAGGAGGCGUGCCCGCACGCGCCAUGCUUCUGCCCGGAGCAAGGCUGCGGCUUCGCUGGCACGACGGAGGCGCUCCUGAACCACUUCGACGCCGAGCACGAGUGGCCGGUCACGGCGUUCAAAUACGCCCAGCCGUUCGACGUGCCCGUGAAGGCCGGCAUGCACGUCCUCCACGGCAGCGAAGAAUACGAAGAAGACGAAGAUGAUGACAGCGACCUCUUCCUGCUCCACGUGGGGCCCCCGGACACCACAAUGCGCGUGGUGUCACUGGUCCGCGUCCAGGCACACGCGCCGGAGUACGAUAUCGGGUGCUCCGCGAGCUUCUCCUGGUUCAGGGGCCAGACCCAGGUCGCGACGCUGGACACGAUCCAAAUCUCAUCGCUCUCUAGCGGGGUGCCCGACUGCCGCUUCUGCAUCGUACCCGAGGCUCCACCCAUGGGCGACGGGCUUGCCUUCCUCAGUGUCACCAUCGAUGUGGAUGUCGAGGAUGACGACGAGCAGGAGGAAGCGGAUGACGAGGAGGAUGAGAGCGAAUGGAUGCGCAGGAUGGCCUGGGUAGAGGUACCUGCCAACGGUGAUGACGAGGAUGAUAAGGCGGAUGAUCACAAUGAUGAUUGA
Molecule: ribosomal RNA, 948 nt
Filed under: Triticum aestivum (bread wheat)
Lineage: Eukaryota; Viridiplantae; Streptophyta; Magnoliopsida; Poales; Poaceae
Description: partial small subunit ribosomal RNA
Source: RNAcentral